GCUCAGUAACACGUGGACAACGUGCCCUAAAGUGGAGCAUAAUCUCGGGAAACUGAGGAUAAUUCUCCAUAGACCAUGAGAUCUGGAAUGACUUAUGGUUCAAAGUUCCGGCGCUUUAGGAUCGGUCUGCGGCCUAUCAGGUAGUAGUGGGUGUAACGUACCCCCUAGCCAGUUACGGGUAUGGGCCUUGAGAGAGGGAGCCCAGAGUUGGAUUCUGAGACACGAAUCCAGGCCCUACGGGGCGCAGCAGUCGCGAAAACUUCACAAUGGGCGAAAGCCCGAUGAGGGAAUUCCUAGUGCUAGCACAUUUGUGUUAGCUUUUCCUUAGCGUAGAUAACUAGGGGAAUAAGGGCUGGGUAAGACGGGUGCCAGCCGCCGCGGUAAUACCCGCAGCCCGAGUGGUGGUCGAUUUUAUUGAGUCUAAAACGUUCGUAGCCGGUCUGAUAAAUCCCUGGGUAAAUCGGGUGGCUUAACCAUCCGAAUUCCGGGGAGACUGUCAGGCUUGGGAUCGGGAGAGGUAUGAGGUACUUCAGGGGUAGGGGUAAAAUCCUGUAAUCCUUGGAGGACCACCGGUGGCGAAGGCGUCGUACUAGAACGAAUCCGACGGUGAGGGACGAAGCCCUAGGUCGCAAACGGGAUUAGAUACCCCGGUAGUCUAGGGUGUAAACGCUGCAGACUAGGUGUUGGAGGCCCUACGGGGGCACCCAGUGCCCGAGAGAAGUUGUUAAGUCUGCUACUUGGGGAGUACGUCCGCAAGGAUGAAACUUAAAGGAAUUGGCGGGGGAGCACAAUCUCCAAGUCGC
Molecule: ribosomal RNA, 803 nt
Filed under: uncultured archaeon
Lineage: Archaea
Description: bacterial SSU rRNA
Rfam family: Archaeal small subunit ribosomal RNA
Source: RNAcentral